CUGGUCCUAUAGGGUUUUUAAAAAGUUAGGCCUACCACAUCCUUAAUCAUCUCUAAAAUCGGUUUACAUUUAUAGCAAAAGCUCAAUCUUUAUAAGCAAUGUAAAGGGUUCCCACUUAUUUUAAUAAAAGAGAAAAUAUAUAACAAGACAUUCAAGUUUAAUCAGAGACAGAGUUGUCGCUGUAGCUGUAAGUAAUAUUCGUGCGUGCAGGACCCGGCGGCUGCAGUCUUUGCUCGAGCUGCAGCUUCCUCAGCAUCAGCAUCUCCAUCGACUCGCAUCUUCUGUGGAACUAGAGUACCGUGACGUGCGAAUAUAUCGGCUUGAAGCUGUUUAAAGAAGGAAACUUGAUCUCUAUACAGAAGAAGCAAUGAAGUCUAAUCCCUCACUAGCAGCUUGUUUUUUGUUAUUAGCAUGUCUGUCGAGUAUGGUGGGUGGGAUCACUGCAACAGAUCCUUACCAGAAACCCAGUUUCUUGGAUUUUAACUCUUGGUUCUGGAACACCCCUCGAGGGCCACAGAUGUACUCCUGCAUUACUUACAUUGAGAAGAACCUCCGGGUUGACUGUGAAUUCCCAGAGACCCACAAGAUCCCUGGGCCAUUCUGCGAGUUCAAACAGGAUGGGCGACUCAUGGGAUCCACCUACCCAAACACUCCGGUCCACAUGAUCCCACCUAUUGAGACCCGACGCCGAGCCAAUGUGACCCUGGUGUCACCUAACAUUUGUCGCCUCACUUGGAUGCCCAUGUCCGAUGACCGUGCAUAUACCUACACCUGCAGGGUUUAUCAGGGCAGCACCUGGAAGGAGAAUAGCAUGGCAUUCCACCAAAGAAAUCUUCUGGUGUGCUCUGCAUUAAGCAUAUUCUUUCACACUGGACCAUGGAUGAUUGCGGUUGUGAUAUCACUUCCUGUUUCCCUUGGGCUUCUGUCAGCAUGACCAGAUCAACAUCAAACAGGCUAAAACUCAAAGCCAUUCUCACAUUUAACUGCCUUUCACAUUUUUUAUUAUUUUUUCAUCUUACAUGGCUAUGUUGACUUCCAUGUUAUUGUUUUUCUUAAAGUUUCUGUGGAGAUCAUCAUUGUCACAUGUUCAGGAUUCAGUCAAAACAAAAAACAAACUAGACAUGAUGCAUCUGACCCACUCAAGUAUUUCCAAAAUGCUGUUCAAUAUUAAACAUGAAAGAACAUUUGUAUACAAUGCAAAUUAGGAUGGUUAGCAUGUUCUUAUCAUCUAAAGACAUCCAGCUAACAGGUGUUUGAAGGUAGACUUAAAGUGAAAUACUACAGUUGUACCACACUACUGUGCAAACGUUUGAGGUCAGUAAGAGUUUUGCAAAGAAAUUAAUACAUUUAUUCAUCAAGGAUGCAUUAAAUUGAUUAAAAGUGAUGGUAAAGACAUUUAAAAUGUUAUGAAGGAUUUGCUCCUUAAAGAAUCUUGAAAAACAUUUAGUAGAGUUUUCAAAUAAAGUAAGCACAAGUGUUUUCGAUAUUGAUAAUAAAAUGUGUUUCUCUAGCAUCAAAUCAGAACAUCACAAUGAUUUCUAAAGGAUAUUGUGACACUAAAGUCUGGACAGCUUUGCCAUCACAGAAAUUAUUAUUAUUUUAUAUAUUCAAGUUGAAAAUGGCUAUUUUAAAUUAAAAACUAUUUUAAAAAUAGAACUGUUUUAUUGAAUUUUGAACCAAAUAAAUGCAGCCUUGGUAAGCAUAAGAGAUUUAUUUUAAAAGCAUUCAAAAAAAAUCUUACUGACUCUGAAUUUUUGGACUGUAAUGUAUGUUGAUUUAAACAGCAGAUAUUAUAGCUGUUUAACAAUUAUUUUCUUGAAUUUACAGUAAUAUGUGACCCUGGACCACGAAACCAGUCUUAAGUGUCAAUUUUUCAAAAUUGAUAUUUAAACAACAUCUGAAAGCUGAAUAAAUAAGCUUUCCAUUGAUGUAUGGUUUAUUAGGAUCUGACAAUAUUUGGCCGAGAUACAACUAUUCUGAAUAUCUGGAGUCUGAGGGUGCAAAAAAAAAAUCUAAAUAUUGAGAAAAUCACCGUUGAAGUUGUCCAAAUGAAGUUCUUAGCUAUGUAUGUUACUAAUAAUAAAAAAAAAAAGUUUUGAUAUAUUUACAGUAGGAAAUUUACAAAAUAUCUUCAUGGAACAUGAUCUACUUAAUAUCCUAAUGAUUUCUGGUAUAAAAGAAAAAUCGAUAAUUUUGAUCCUUACAAUGUUUUUUGGGAUAUUGCUGAAAACACACCCCAGUGAUUUAAGACUGGUUUUGUGGUACAGGGUCACAUAUUAGUAUAACUGGACGCAGCAUGUUUGUCAUUUGCAUUGAAUUCAGAUGAAGGACUGCAAAAAAAGUAUAUGCAGAAGAUGAUCAGACAUCCCAAAUAUUUGUCACCUAAAAUAUUCUCUGUUAAAUAUAUGUUACUGGGACCUUAAUACUGUAUCAUUAAUGUGCUUCCUUCAAAUCAAGUUAUAUAGUAGUUCAAAAAGAUAUUAUACUUUUUAUUGCUGACAUUUUUGUAAUAUUUAUAGAAAUAACUGAGUGAAAUCAUUGUAAUCUGUAAUCUCAUUUAUUGGAUGGCUGGUUGAUCGAUCCUUGCAAUUUGUCCAGUGCAAAAUGCAUCAUACAAGUUUAUCAUUGUCUUAGCGCUUCUGUUUAUCACUUGAAUAAGGACAGAUCUGUCUGAAGGACAUCACCACUGCUGACAUAUUAUAUUCCAGCACUCACACAUGAUGCAACUAAAUAUUCUGUGGACAACAAUUCAAGGACUUUUUGUUCAGGUACGUUUAGGGGGAAAAUGAUACAGGCCUGGAACAGAACACAAGUGCAUAAGAAUGAGUCUAUUAAGGUUAUGUGAUGAUUAAGUAUUCAAAAAUACUUUUACAUUCUGUUUAUAUGUGUCUUUCAUUGCAAUCGCAUGCACGGUGCAGCUGCUGUAUGCUCAUGCUUAUUUGCACUGUGGGCUUCCACACGUUUAGCUGCUUUUCACCCAGGCUUCCUUGAACUAACCUAACCUUAAGUGCCUAAGAUUGGCUUUAAGGUAUAAUCUGAGCUUUAGAAAUGUAGUGCUUUGUCUGUUUCAUUUUAAUGACUCACAAAUACUGCAUAGCAAUAUAUUCAAGCGUCAGCACACACAUUUCACAUUUAUAUUUGUGAUGAAAUCUUCCCUUCUUUCUUUCUUUGCAUUGCUUUAUCUUAUUUUUUGAAGGAUCUAUACUGAGAAAUGUCACUGAAAACAAUAAAGGAAUGGAGAGUGUAA
Molecule: long non-coding RNA, 3247 nt
Organism: Carassius gibelio (silver crucian carp)
Lineage: Eukaryota; Metazoa; Chordata; Actinopteri; Cypriniformes; Cyprinidae
Exons: 4
Source: RefSeq, a predicted model, not a curated record